Molecule: unclassified non-coding RNA, 278 nt
Filed under: plant metagenome
Description: partial contains small subunit ribosomal RNA, internal transcribed spacer 1, and 5.8S ribosomal RNA
Rfam family: Eukaryotic small subunit ribosomal RNA (bases 1-53)
Source: RNAcentral
GGAAGUAAAGUCGUAACAAGGUUUCCGUAGGUGAACCUGCGGAAGGAUCAUUAACGAGUUAGGGUCUUCUAGGCCCGACCUCCCAACCCUUUGUUUACUGAACCAUUGUUGCCUCGGUGGGUCCGUCUUACGACCGCCGGGGGAUCGCCGCGAGGCGCCCCCUGGCCAGCGCCCACCGAUAGCCCAACCUUUAAAACCCUUUGUGAAUCGUGUCUUAUGUCUAAAUUUAUGAUUAAACAAUCAAAACAAAACUUUCAACAACGGAUCUCUUGGUUCUG